RNAcentral lists this long non-coding RNA (469 nucleotides) under Anas platyrhynchos platyrhynchos (common mallard). RNAcentral's name for it is "lncRNA (ENSAPLG00000018259.1)". The record is from RNAcentral. Lineage: Eukaryota; Metazoa; Chordata; Aves; Anseriformes; Anatidae.
CACASACAAGUAGUUAGUGGGCCCAGGAACACAGACUGGUGGAGAURACCGAGGGCCCAAACAAGUUGGCUGCACCAGCCCACCUCCUCUGGGGCAGCCAUGCUUCAGGGAACCAACGGCUACUACCAGUAAAACAAUGAAGGAAGUAAAAGCCAGAGAGAUUUGUUAAGGGCUAAACACUAUUAAUGAGCCAAAUGCUGUUUUACAUCGUGUAAGAGCAGUCUCUUCACACUCUGAUUUUCUUCUAUGGGACUCCCUACAGAAUACAGCAGUGAUCACAGUGCUUUUGAAUGAGGCUGCUGGAUGCUCUAGAUCUGCUUACAUCAGACCCCAUCUGCCAUGAUCACAUGCUGGUCCUGACCAACAGUGAGAGCAGAGGCAUGAAGGUGUAACAGCAAGGAUGUGACUCCAUACAUCAUUGUCAUUAAUCGAUGUUGGGCACUGCUUGGAUACAUCAUCUAUUUUGUGC